UGGCGUGUAGCUCAAUGGCAGAGCAGGCGGCUGUUAACCGCCCGGUUGGAGGUUCGAGUCCUCCCACGUCAG
This 72-nucleotide transfer RNA is filed under the name Rhodococcus (subgen. Prescottella) equi. RNAcentral describes it as "Rhodococcus hoagii tRNA-Asn". It matches the Rfam family "tRNA". Rfam says of the family: Transfer RNA (tRNA) molecules are approximately 80 nucleotides in length. Their secondary structure includes four short double-helical elements and three loops (D, anti-codon, and T loops). Further hydrogen bonds mediate the characteristic L-shaped molecular structure. tRNAs have two regions of fundamental functional importance: the anti-codon, which is responsible for specific mRNA codon recognition, and the 3' end, to which the tRNAs corresponding amino acid is attached (by aminoacyl-tRNA synthetases). tRNAs cope with the degeneracy of the genetic code in two manners: having more than one tRNA (with a specific anti-codon) for a particular amino acid; and 'wobble' base-pairing, i.e. permitting non-standard base-pairing at the 3rd anti-codon position. The record is from RNAcentral. Lineage: Bacteria; Bacillati; Actinomycetota; Actinomycetes; Mycobacteriales; Nocardiaceae.